AGAGUUUGAUCCUGGCUCAGGAUGAACGCUAGCGGCGUGCUUUAAGCAUGCAAGUGGGACGGGUCACCGCAAGGUGACCAGUCGCGAACGGCUGAGUAAUACGUAAGUACUUACCCCAUGGUGUGGAAUACCUUGCCGAAAGGCAAGCUAAUACCGCAUGACCUCCAAUUUAUUGGAGAAAAGGAUUUAACUAUCCGCCGAGGGAGAGGCUUGCGGCCCAUCAGCUAGUUGGUAGGGUAAAAGCCUACCAAGGCUACGACGGGUAGGGGAUGUGAGAGCAUGUUCCCCCAGAAAGGCACUGAGACACGGGCUAUACAUCUACGGAUGGCAGCAACUGGGAAUAUUGCGCAAUGGGCGAAAGCCUGACGCAGCGACACCGCGUGGGGGAUGAAGGCCUUAGGGUCGUAAACCCCUUUUGACAGGGAAUCCCGCAAGGGGUACGGUACCUGUGGAAUAAGCAUCUGCUAACCACGUGCCAGCAGCCGCGGUAAUACGUGGGAUGCGAACGUUAUCCGGAUUUACUGGGCGUAAAGAGUUCGUAGGCGUUUUUCUAAGUUUCAUUUGAAAUACCGAGGCUUAACUUCGGGACCGGAUGAAAUACUAGAAGGAUUGAGUCGGUUAGGGGGUACUGGAAUUGACAGUGUAGCAGUGAAAUGCGUUGAUAUUGUCAAGAACACCAAGGGCGAAGGCAGGUACCUGGGACCGCACUGACGCUGAGGAACGAAAGCUAGGGGAGCGAAAGGGAUUAGAUACCCUGGUAGUC
RNAcentral lists this ribosomal RNA (763 nucleotides) under uncultured bacterium. RNAcentral's name for it is "bacterial SSU rRNA". It matches the Rfam family "Bacterial small subunit ribosomal RNA", at positions 8 to 795 of the family's 1533-position model. The record is from RNAcentral.